GCCAGGUGUGGUGGCACACACCUGUAAUCCCAGCAACUGUGGAGGUUGAGGUAAGAGGAUCACAAGUUUGAGGCCAAUGUCAGCAACUUAGCAAGAUCCUCAGUAACUUAGGUAGAACCUAUCUCAA
This 127-nucleotide small RNA is filed under the name Marmota monax (woodchuck). The record is from RNAcentral. Lineage: Eukaryota; Metazoa; Chordata; Mammalia; Rodentia; Sciuridae.